AGGGGCUUAGGAUAAACUAAACCAGAGUCCUUCAAAGCCUCAAAUGAGGGUUAAACCCCCUCAGCCCCUG
RNAcentral lists this transfer RNA (70 nucleotides) under Lampris guttatus (North Atlantic opah). RNAcentral describes it as "tRNA-Trp". It matches the Rfam family "tRNA". From Rfam's summary of the family: Transfer RNA (tRNA) molecules are approximately 80 nucleotides in length. Lineage: Eukaryota; Metazoa; Chordata; Actinopteri; Lampriformes; Lampridae. The record is from RNAcentral.